AAUACGAACUAGUUGAUGGUUAUAAAUAGAAAAGGUUAAAUUAUAUAAAACUUUCUGUCAAAAUCCAAUUUUUCACUUUCCCCCCGUCAAUUAAAAAACAUACAUUUUGCCCCCUUGUAAAAUAAAAAAUAUUCACAGGGGGGUGUUUGGGAAUAACUUCGGAGUUAAUGGGUUAUUCCACCCCUUAACCCCGAACCAAAUGGGUAUGCAGCAGUCACGUUGACUACGUAACGUUCUUAAUUAAUCAAAUUACUCUCCUAAAAUUCACCCAUUUCAUUAUAUUUUUUUAAAAAAAAUUUAUUAUAUUUUCCUCUCAAAAAAUAAAUGUAAUUAACUAAUUAUAAAUGAUGUGGUAUAGCUGCUACAUAGUAAACCUCCUCAUUCUCUU
Molecule: long non-coding RNA, 388 nt
Filed under: Ananas comosus (pineapple)
Lineage: Eukaryota; Viridiplantae; Streptophyta; Magnoliopsida; Poales; Bromeliaceae
Description: long non-coding RNA (ACOM_LNC042762)
Source: RNAcentral